GCCCCUAAAUCUUGAAACUUAUAAAUAAUAAUAAUAGCUAAAAUAUUUUAAAAAAUUUAUAAUAUUAUUUCGUAAAAAAAAUCUUCUUUGACUUAAUUUGAAUUAACAUGAAUUAAUUUUAUUUAAUUUGAUUUGAUUAUAUUUAAUUUUAUUUAAUUGGUAUAAUAAAAGUUAAUAAUAAUAUAUUUAUUUUAUUUUCUAAUUAAUAAUAAUAAAUAUAGGAUAAUAAAAGUUAUUAGUAUUGAUACCCUAAUUAUUAUUUCGUUAAAAAAUUUAUUUACUAUAGAAAGCAUAUAGAAAGCAUAAUAUUUCCUAAUUAUUAUUUCCUAAAAAAAUCUAAUCUAUUUUCCCUAAAGUAGAAAAUCUAUUUAUUAUAGAAAGUAUAUUAUUUCUUAAAAAUAUUUAUUUACUAUAGAAAGUAUAUAGAAAACAUAUUAUUUUCUAAUUAUUAUUUCUUUAAAAAAUCUAAUUUGACUUUAUUUUAAUUAAUUUUCAUUAAUUUUAUUUAAUUUGAUUUAAUUAUAAUUAAUUAUAUUUAAUUGAUAUAAUAAAAGUUAAUAAUAAUAUAUUAAUUUUAUUUUCUAAUUAAUUAUAAUAUAGAAUAAUAAAAGUUAUCAAUAUCGAUACCCUAAUUAUUAUUUUCUAAAAAAACUAUUUAGAAAGCAUAUAGAAAGCAUAUUAUUUGCUAAUUAUUAUUUUCUAAAAAAAUCUAAUUUGACUUAAUUUGAUAUAAUAGUGUGUCCAAAUUCUAGAUAAUUGUUUAAUUGGUAUAAUUUGACUUAAAUUGAAUUAAUUUGAAUUAUUUUUAUUCAAUUUGGAUUAAUUAUAUUUAAUAGUGUUUCCUAAUAAAAUCGUAAUUGUAUUUAAUUUGAUAUAAUAGUGUUACCUAGUAAAAUUCUAGUUAAUUCUUUAAAUAUAGAAUAGCAAUUUUAUAUACUUAGUGUAAUUUGACUUAAUUUGAAUUAAUUUUAUAUUUAAUUUGAUUUAAUUUGAUUUUUAAUAAAUUUAAUCUGAUUUAAUAGUGUUUCCUAAUAAAAUUGUUAAUCUAUAUUUGAGUAUAAUUAUAAUAAUAGUGUUUAAUAGUGUUUCCUAAUAGAAUUAUAGUUAAUUCUUUAAUUGGUGUGAUUUGACUUAAUUUGAAUUAAUUUGAAUUAAUUAUAGAAUAAUUGGUAUGAUUUGAGUUAAUUUGAAUCAAUUUGAAUUAAUUAUAGAAUAGAGUUUGACUUAAUUUGAAUUAAUUAAUUUGCAUUAAUUAUAGAAUAGAGUUUGACACGUGGCAAGCAUAUAGAAAGGCACGUGUCAGAUUCUCACAUAGGGAUCAUUAAGGGUUCUACUUUAGUAUAUAGUAAAGUAAUAGAUAGAUUAUAUGGUUUGCAUCCGCUUUCAGCUUUUUAACCUAGCCCAGAUGGAACAUUUCAACCCAUUAAGGGUUAAUUACACCAGUAGUCCCCAACCUUUCCAGCAAUUUUCCAUUGAGUCUUCAACCUUUUUUUUUUGCAAUUGA
RNAcentral lists this long non-coding RNA (1504 nucleotides) under Ananas comosus (pineapple). RNAcentral's name for it is "long non-coding RNA (ACOM_LNC039260)". Lineage: Eukaryota; Viridiplantae; Streptophyta; Magnoliopsida; Poales; Bromeliaceae. The record is from RNAcentral.